UGGAGAGGUGGCCGAGUCGGUUUAAGGCAGCCGCCUGCUAAGCGGUUGUACGGGCUAAAACCCGUACCGUGGGUUCGAAUCCCACCCUCUCCGCCAU
This 97-nucleotide transfer RNA is filed under the name Dictyoglomus thermophilum H-6-12. Its description in RNAcentral is "tRNA-Ser". It matches the Rfam family "tRNA". From Rfam's summary of the family: Transfer RNA (tRNA) molecules are approximately 80 nucleotides in length. Lineage: Bacteria; Pseudomonadati; Dictyoglomota; Dictyoglomia; Dictyoglomales; Dictyoglomaceae. The record is from RNAcentral.